This 228-nucleotide ribosomal RNA is filed under the name uncultured bacterium. RNAcentral describes it as "partial 16S ribosomal RNA". It matches the Rfam family "Bacterial small subunit ribosomal RNA", at positions 15 to 235 of the family's 1533-position model. The record is from RNAcentral.
GAUCUGGCUCAGGAUGAACGCUAGCUACAGGCUUAACACAUGCAAGUCGAGGGGCAGCAUGACGAUAGCUUGCUAUUGUUGAUGGCGACCGGCGCACGGGUGAGUAACGCGUAUCCAACCUUCCCAUAGCUAGGGAAUAACCUUGCGAAAGUAAGACUAAUGCCCUAUAACAUUCUUUGCAGACAUCUAAAGAGAAUUAAAGAUUUAUCGGCUAUGGAUGGGGAUGCG